Molecule: long non-coding RNA, 284 nt
Filed under: Mytilus galloprovincialis (Mediterranean mussel)
Lineage: Eukaryota; Metazoa; Mollusca; Bivalvia; Mytilida; Mytilidae
Source: RNAcentral
UAUUCUCUGUUCUUUAUAUCUGAACACCCCAGUAUUCUCUGUUCUUUAUAUCUUAACACCCCAGUAUUCUCUGUUCUUUAUAUCUGAACACCCCAGUAUUCUCUAUUCUUUAUAUCUGAACACCCCAGUAUUCUCUAUUCUUUAUAUCUUAACACCCCAGUAUUCUCUGUUCUUUAUAUCUGAACACCCCAGUAUUCUCUGUUCUUUAUAUCUGAACACCCCAGUAUUCUCUGUUCUUUAUAUCUGAACACCCCAGUAUUCUCUGUUCUUUAUAUUUUAGCACC